This 693-nucleotide long non-coding RNA is filed under the name Homo sapiens (human). The record is from RNAcentral. Lineage: Eukaryota; Metazoa; Chordata; Mammalia; Primates; Hominidae.
GGCCGCGGCAGCUCCUCUGCAGAGACGGGGUGAGAGUCCGGGGCCGCGUGAGCGUCUUCCGCUCGCUCGCUCGCUCUGUUUCUCCUUCUCCUCUGUCUCUCGCUUUCUCUGUGCCUCUCUCUCUCUUUCUGCCUCUCUUUCUCUCUGCCUGUCUCUCUCUCUGUCUGCCUCUCUCUCUGCCUCCCUCUCUCUCUGCCUCCCUCUCUCUGCCUCCCUCUCUCUCUGCCUCCCUCUCUCUCUGCCUCCCUCUCUCUCUGCCUCCCUCUCUCUCUGCCUCCCUCUCUCUCUGCCUCCCUCUCUCUCUGCCUGCCUCUCUCUCUGCCUGCCUCUCUCUCUGCCUCCCUCUCUCUGCCUCCCUCUCUCUCUGCCUCCCUCUCUCUCUGCCUCCCUCUCUCUCUGCCUCCCUCUCUCUCUGCCUCCCUCUCUCUCUGCCUGCCUCUCUCUCUGCCUCCCUCUCUCUCUGCCUCCCUCUCUCUCUGCCUCCCUCUCUCUCUGCCUCCCUUUCUCCUUCUGCCUCUUUCUCUCUCUCUCCCCCCGCACUGUACCUCUCUCUCUCUCUGCUCCCCUGUCUCUCUCUCUCCCCCUAGUGUCUCUGUAUCUGUCUUUUCUUGUGUCUGUGAAUCUGUUUGCCCGCCUCGCUCUGUCUCUCUUUCCCUAUAUCUCUCUGUCCCUCCCCCAACUCCCUUGUUCCAC